AUUGGUUUUAGGCCUUAGUUUUGUUGUGCAAUCAUAAAGAUAAAUACUAGGUUUGUCACGAAUAUAUGGUAAGAUAGACCAUGAGUUAAAAAUCUAAUUCUUUAUGCACUUUGCAUUACUGGCUAUUUAGAAAAUUUUCUCUGAUUCAAUAAUAUAGUUGGUUUUAGCUGCAGCAAAAAGUUGGUGUUAUAUGGUUUUAACCUGAGAGAUAGCAGAUAUGAAUUCAAUAGUUGUUUUCACUUGCCUUUGUACCUCAGUCCCUUCUUCUUUCACACUUUCUGUUGCCGCCUAAAUUAAUUUUCCCAUGCCUUAAUUUCAUAGA
RNAcentral lists this unclassified non-coding RNA (322 nucleotides) under Hevea brasiliensis (rubber tree). Lineage: Eukaryota; Viridiplantae; Streptophyta; Magnoliopsida; Malpighiales; Euphorbiaceae. The record is from RNAcentral.